This 795-nucleotide ribosomal RNA is filed under the name uncultured bacterium. RNAcentral's name for it is "bacterial SSU rRNA". It matches the Rfam family "Bacterial small subunit ribosomal RNA", at positions 26 to 828 of the family's 1533-position model. The record is from RNAcentral.
UGGAUGAACGCUGGCGGCGUGCUUAACACAUGCACUUCAAACGAUGAUGCCAGCUUGCUGGUGGAUUAAUGGCCAACGGGUGAGUAACACGUGAGUAACCUGCCCUUAACUCUGGGAUAAGCCUGGGAAACUGGGUCUAAUACCGGAUAUGACUCCUCAUCGCAUGGUGGGGGGUGGAAAGCUUUAUUGUGGUUUUGGAUGGACUCGCGGCCUAUCAACUUGUUGGUGAGGUAAUGGCUCACCCACGCGACUACUGGUAGCCGGCCUGAGAGGGUGACCGGCCACACUGGGACUGAGACACUUCCCAUACUCCUACGGGAGGCAGCAGUGGGGAAUAUUGCACAAUGGGCGCAAGCCUGAUGCAGCGACCCCUCGUGAGGGAUGACUGCCUUCGGGUUGUAAACCUCUUUCUCUACGGAAGAAACCAAAGUGACGGUACCUGCCCAACAAGCGCCGGCUAACUACGUGCCAGCAGCCGCGGUAAUACGUAGGGCGCAAGCGUUAUCCGGAAUUAUUGGGCGUAAAGAGCUCGUANGCGGUUUGUCGCGUCUGCCGUGAAAGUCCUGGGCUCAACUCCGGAUCUGCGGUGGGUACGGGCAGACUACAGUGAUGUACGUGGAGACUGCACUUCCUCGGCGUAACGCUGAAAUGCGCAGAUAUCAUCACGAACACCCGAUGGGCGUAUGGCACGUCUCUGGGCAUCAACUGAGGCUGAAGUAGCGAAUGCAUCGCGAGCUAACAGGAUUAUAUACCCUGGUAGUCCAUGCCGUACACGUUNUGCACUACGUGUGGGGG